Molecule: unclassified non-coding RNA, 211 nt
Filed under: soil metagenome
Description: partial contains 5.8S ribosomal RNA, internal transcribed spacer 2, and large subunit ribosomal RNA
Source: RNAcentral
AACGAGGCCGACCUGCGGCUGAGUUACCUGCGGAAGGAUCAUUAUCGAGUUGCAAAACUCCAACCCUUUGUGAACAUACCUCAGUCGUUGCUUCGGCGGUGGACGGCCUGUUUUUCGGAACGGCCGGAAGCCGCCGGAGGUUCCAAACUCGUAUUUUUUAGUGUAUCUCUGAGCCUGAAAACAAAUAAUCAAAACUUUUAGCAACGGAUCU